CUGAGUCCGUCAUUCUUGAGAAGCAAAUUAAACAAGAACAAGAGAGAUGGCAACAGUGAAAAGGAUCAAGCUGGGGUCACAGGGUCUUGAAGUAUCAGCACAGGGACUUGGAUGCAUGGGCAUGUCUGCCGCCUACGGCCCUCCAAAGCCUGAAUCGGACAUGAUCGCACUCAUCCACCAUGCCGUCAACACUGGGGUCACUUUACUCGACACCUCCGAUGUCUAUGGACCCCACACCAACGAAAUCCUUCUGGGCAAGGCCUUGAAGGCGGGAGGAUUACGACAGAGAGUUGAAUUGGCCACCAAAUUUGGCGCCAGCUUUAAGGAUGGCACUUUUGAGUUUCGAGGGGAUCCUGCUUAUGUGAGAGCUGCUUGCGAGGCCAGCUUGAAACGCCUUCAACUUGAAUCCAUUGAUCUUUAUUACCAACAUCGCAUUGAUACCAGCGUUCCUAUUGAAGCUACGGUAUUUCUCUUUAAUUGUUUUUAUUUCUGAAUAUUGUUCUGAUUAAUCUUGAUCGUUCGAUGGCCAUGAUGAUAGUUAGAGAAUUUUUCUUUUACUUGAUGAUAUAUUUUCCAGAAUCUGUGACAGGCAUAUCCAAAAAUCCCUAAAACUUCAUCAUAAACCCACUAAAAUUAUAGAUUAGACAUGGUACUGAUGAUACCGUCAUGCUCAUUAUAUGCAUUGACAUCUUGCAAUGGCCUCUUUCGUAGUUGGAUGCCGACAAUGCUAAUAUUGGGUUCUGUCCCUGCAUUCUAGCUGAAAAAUUUAUUGCAGUCGUGCACUCAUAAUUCUUUUCUUUGCUAGAUGGGGGAACUCAAGAAACUAGUUGAAGAAGGUAAAAUAAAGUAUAUAGGUCUGUCUGAGGCCUCUGCUUCAACAAUCAGACGAGCUCACGCUGUUCAUCCGAUCACAGCCGUGCAGUUGGAGUGGUCACUGUGGUCAAGAGAUGUGGAGGAAGAGAUUGUUCCUACCUGCAGGUGAGGCAUUGAUGAGAAAAACUAAUUUCCUUUGGAGAUCAAAAUAACCCAAACCUUAGGCUGUUUAUGGGAUGCCUUAGAUAUCCAGAUUCUGAUCUUAUCAUUCUAAUGGUUCAGAGAACUUGGCAUUGGGAUUGUUGCUUACAGUCCUCUAGGACAGGGAUUCUUUUCCUCUGGGCCUAAGUUGGUUGAGAGCCUUACAGAUGGUGACUUCAGAAAGGUAGGUUCUUUUCUUUUUUAACAUAGAGUUUGUGAUCUGUGGAAUACAUGUCCAGUAAUUAAAUAACCAAUUGGUUAGCUUAGAUGCCUCAAAACACUAGUCUCUUCCAUCUUAUGGAUUGGUUUGGUGGUCUAAACUCCAUUGAAGAAACUUGCACAAAGUAAAAGUUUAGCUUUGAGAUCAUUAUAUUUUUACCUAGCAGUUCCUUCACAUUUGCAUUAUUCCUACAAAUAUGCUAUACACUUGGAUUGCUUAAAGAUUCAAUCAAAUAAAACACAGAUUUACAGGAUCUCCUUGUAUUAGACAGGUGCCUUUAGUUUGUCCCAUGCAUGUCCAAACAAAAAGUUCUGCAUACUUAAUGUUUUGCUUAAAUCGUUCUCUCUGAUAUUCAAUCUUCAGUACUUUUGAAUUCCUAAAAUCUGCUCACUCGCCUUGUACAUGGGAAUUUGGCGUGCUUGCACCCAUAAAAAACUGCGUGGUAUACAAUAUCAUGAUGGUUUGCGUUUAGUACUAGGAUUAAUGUUUUGUUGUGGCAAAAAGGACAUGUUACAUGUACAUGUGGAAUGUUGCAUAAACUGUAAUCUAUGAUGCUUUCUUCUUGAUGAGUUGUUUCAGCUUAGCUGCUGAAAUUAACUAGUGUUUCAAUUGUCUCAGGGUUUGCCUAGGUUCCGACCUGAAAAUCUUGAACAUAAUUCACAACUAUUUGAGCGGGUUAAGGAAAUGGCAGCAAGGAAACAGUGCACUUCAUCGCAGCUGGCGUUGGCCUGGGUACACCACCAGGGUGAUGAUGUAUGUCCUAUUCCUGGAACCACCAAGAUCGAAAACUUCAACCAGAAUGUUGGAGCUCUGUCUGUCAAACUAACGCCAGAAGAAAUGGCUGAACUCGAAUCAAUAGCUUCUUCGGAUGCUGUAAGAGGAGAUAGGUAUGGCGUUGGCAUGCUUACAUUCAAGGAUUCAGAUACUCCACCUCUUACAUCAUGGAAAGCUGUAUAGAAGGCAUGCUGCCAUACCAUCCUGUCUUGCUUCUACUCGUGGAUUUCAGCUCCCUUUGAAGUUUUCUAAAACUGUGAGAGUUUGUAAACCAUCUGAACUUCUGAAGAGAAUAAGAGUUUGUACACCAUCUGAACUUCUGAAGAUAAUAAAUGUUUUCGUAAUCUAAAAGUAUUGCAACUUUCUUUUAGCUUUGCUAUAAAAAGAUGGUGUUCCUUAGUUUGUCCUCGUAGAAAUUUCUAAUUGUUGAUAGUGAUCAGAACCUCUGUGUUAUACCUGUCAUUCUCGAUUUAAAGACUUACCUAGAAAAUAGUUGUCCUCAUUUAUUUAUUUUUUUAUUGAAUCAGAAAGCUAGGUUUGAAUUAGAUUUAGCGAGAUUAAAUGGAUCAUUAAAAAUCUAGUCGGAUUUAACAACUAUAUUUUAUGCUAAAAACUUGGCUCUGGUUUGUGAUCAUGCACUCAUUGAAGGUUCUAUAUAGUCUAGCAUUUGCAUGUCAAUGGCUGUUUGCGUUGGGAUUUCAAUGUGUGUCCAAAAGAGAGUCAUGUCAUUGCCUUGACUUGUUAGUUUAAUAUAUUAUGUACUUAUAUAAUAAUAUUAUUAUAUUUAUGUAAAUAUAUAUUUGUUAUUAAUAAAAAGUUAAUUUAUCACUAAUAUUUAUAUAAUAUUAUAUUAAUAAAUUUAAUAUUUGAUUUAUGAAUCUAGAGUAAAGAUAAUGUUUAUGCUAAAAAAAUGUUUUGCAAAUGAAAUUAUAAAGUUGUUAUAAUUAUGAGAUUACUAUGACAUGAAAGCAUUGAUCUUAAAAUGUUUAUGGUCGAGAUGCUCUCUUACCUAUUAUAUAUAUAUAUAUAUAUUUUUUUGUGAAAGGAAGUGGUUGUUCUCAUAAGCUGAGUUAUAAAGAAUACCUAAAACUAAUAUGUAGAUAGUUAUCAUAGGAUAUAUAUACUAACUUGACCCGCAUGAGGAUUCUAUAUGAAGAGAUUAUAUAUGUCUAUGGAAAGGCUCAUGAUUAGUACUUAAAAUUGUAUUUUUAUCAAGGUUUUAUAUCAUUAUUUUGCACUUGAAAUAUCAAUAACUUCUUAACUAAAGCAUGUUUUAUAAUAAUAUAACUAAUAAUAUAAGAUACUUUUAAUUUAUAGUAAAUAUUCAUCUUAAAUGCAGGUCUAUCACAUAGAUAAAAGGAUUGAUUAAGGAGUUUAAGUAUUAAAAUUGAAAAGACAAAGAAAGGGCCAAACUUAGAAAAAAGAUGUUAGUGCAGUCCAAACUGGAAUACUGUUCGGUAAUUGGGUCAUAUCUUGAGUUUUAGAUGUCCAAAUGACUUUAAAUGUUUAGACAAAUUCGGUAAGACAUAGACCUACAACUUUCAUGUGGAGUCCAAGAUUUAAAAAGACCGUUUUCAAGUCCAAGUUAUAGCAACAACAGAGAAGUUCAGAUUUGUCAUGCAUCCUAGACACUGUUCAGUGUUCAUCCCAUAUCUCGAGCUAAAAUUCCAAAUGACCUCAAUUUUUUUUCCUGAAGGAUAAGACAAUUUUCUAUAACUUUCAUGAGUAUAGGUGAUUCCAAUUUUGAUGCUAACAAUGACAUUUUAUUCAGACAAGAAGAUAAGGAUUUUCACCAAGUCAAGAGUUGGCCACCCACUCAACAAUUAGUCAUCAAAUCAAUAGUUUCAAAUUUUAGCCUAUAAAAGGAGGCAUUUGCCAUGUAUUUAGGGGCUUGGUUGUUUAGAUCAAGAACUUGUUAUUGCUCUCUCUCUUUAUAUAUAUAUAAGUUUUGCUUUCAUUAAUAUCUUGUUUAUACUUUUCAUUUCCUUUCCUUUAUUUAGUUAACUUGUAUCUUAUAUAUAUUUUUCAAUUUAUUCUAUUAUACAAUAUCUUUUUAUUUUUCAAUUAAGAAAAAUCAUGAUAUAAUGCAAACACUUCCUUCUCUUACAUUAUAAAUUGAAUUGAAAUUCUACAUAAAAUAACAAGGAAAUGAAUACAACACCUAUUGCACUUAAAAGUGAAUUAUAAAAUAAAAUUAAAUAAGAGAGAUCAAACAUUUAUUUAUUAUAGUUGUGACACAAUUCAUCAAGGAUUAACAUAUAAAUUGUUUUUUUCCCUUCUCCACACAAACCAAAAGAAUGGCUAGUAGGUGUAGAAUUAUCUUUUCCAAUAGAUCUAUUGUGCAUUGCAAAAUUAGUUGGGGAUAAAUUGGUUAGUAUAUUUUUGUUUUCACUAUCAUAUUACUUUGUCUUUUUAUUAUUAUUUGCACAAUAAAACUACACUUAUAUCUUUUAGAGAAAAUAACCAUUAAAAUAGGGUUUUUUUUUUGUAUUUUUAGUUUUUUGAACAAUGAAGUUACAGUAUUACCUUAAAAUCAAAAAAAUAUACAUCUAUUUUAAAGGGUAAUUUUGGUUUUUACUUAUGGGUUUUUUUGUUAUUUUUAGGUUGGUCUAAGGGUUUUUUGUCAUUUUAAAAGACUAAAUAUUAUUACAAAAAACAAAUUGUUGAUGCAUUAGUGCAUGAUGAUUCCCGCGAGAGGCGCAUGUAGGGCCUUCCAAUUAUCAAAUCCCACCAUAUAAGGCAGUGUUAAGAGAGGCUCAUCAUGCUUUUUUUAGUAGUGUGGUGCAUGCUUUUGGAGGAGGCAUAGUUAACAAGCCUUUUUUUUCUCCUUUCUUUUCUUUUUCCUAACCUAAAACUUUAUGCCAGCCCAUCCAAAAAAUAAUUUUGUCCUUCAUUUUGUAUUUCUAUUAAUCUUGGCUCUCAUUCUUUGAAUUACUAUUUGUUUUGUUUUAAUAUUUUUUUUGGAUUUUAGUUUUUUAUUUAUUUCAUCCCUGAGAAUUUUAUUUCAUUUAAUUUUUGUAUCUAAUUUGAUCCUCAUUAAUUUUAUUACUCUUUAUUAGUGUUUUAUCCUUUUCUUGAUUUUUUUUAGUUUUUUCAAUUUCAUCCUUAAUUAUCUCAGGAUUUGCCUAGGUUCCGACCAGAAAAUCUUGAACAUAAUACACAACUAUUUGAGUGAGUUAAGGAAAAAUUUAUUGUAAUUAUAACUCUCAACCAACUCAAUAUUAAAAAAAUAAAAUAAAAAAAUCAUAAAAAAAACAUGUGGGAAAACACUGUAGCAAUCCAUAGUGUUUUAAAAAAUAUAUAUGAAGCUAAAUUCUAACCAGCUCAAUAUUAAAAAAAAAUCGACAAAGAUAAUUUUUGAAAAAAAUUAUAUAUAAAAAAAAAAGCACAAGAAAAGAAAAUAAAAAUGUCAUGUGGGGAAACACUGUAGCAAUCCACAAUGUUUUAAAGAAAAAAAAUUACAAAGGUAAAUUCUCAACGAGGUCAAUAUUAAAAAAUUAAUCUAAAAAUAUAAUUUUGAAAAAAAAUCAUAAAAAAACCAUGUGUAGAAACACUGUAGCAAUCCACAAUAUUUUGUGAGAAAAGCCAUAAUUGUAAUUCUUAACCAGCCCAAUGGUGAAAACUAAAAAAAAAAACAAAAUAAAUAAAUAAAUAAUAUUGUAGCGUAACAUAAUAUGAUACAUAUAUGUAAUGAGAUACCAAGAAAUCCAAAUUCAUUUCAUUAUUUAUAUGUUGAAUAGUCAACAGACAAUGAAUCUUAAGUAGCAGCUCUGAUACAACAAUUGUAAGACAUAUACUCUAACAGAGUGGCUUAACACAACCAACCUUUUAAGCAUUUACCAGCUACUCACUGGAGUGUCAUGUCUUAUCAGAUGAUAACAAAAGCUUCUAGUUUAAAAUGUAAAGAGGUAAAAGAGCUUGAAGAACAGAGAAUUAGAAAAGCAAGUUCUUUAUUGAAGAGGCUUCUAGUCUACCAUCUUAAGGUUCUACCAUUACAACAUUACACACAGCCUCUAUAUAUAGUACUUUGAGGCUUUUGCUGACAUCAUUCAUUACAUCAGAAAGCAUUAAAGCACACUUAAUAAUGCACCCUUACAUGACUUAUGACACAAAUGACAAGCUAGUACAACACCAAUAUCAAUCGACAACACUAAUAUCAACCGACAAUAGGUUCAUGAUCUAGAGAGAGAUUUUGGUCUGACAGGUUAUCCUGAUCACGAAUAGUUUGGACUUAUAGGGCCAGCACAUAGUCAUCUUCUGCAAGUAUUUCCAUCUCAUGUGGUUCCAGAAGCUUUGGUAUUCCCAAAAUUAUUUAUUUGAGUUUUUUUUUUUUUGUACUGCCUCUGCAAGUUAUGAAGAUAAGCAGAAUAUUGAUAGUCAUAUAGAUCAUAGUCAAUUUCUUCAACAGGAUCUAUUUCUUUAAGCCAUAUUUCAUCAAGAAUAAUGUUGUUUUUAAGGCACACUAUUUUUUGCAAGGUCCUGAUGUCCUGGAGGUUAUCUAAGGGGUUUUCAUACAGGAGUAUGGAUGAGUUUUGUAUACUGCAGCCUGUGAAAAACUCAUAACCAUAUUGUCUGCUGAAGCUUUGAAAGGCAUGUGGAAUAUGAAAACAGAGAAUAGAUGGGAAAAAGCUUGCUUAACAGAUUUAUUACAAAGUGUACUGCGAUGUACUUCAAUCCAGCAGGUUUAUGCAUAGGGCUAUUUGGAUUUUUCCUGUUGGAGAAGAGAGAUCCAUUAUGUGGGGUUGUAGAACCACGUAAGGAACUUUAGAGUAUAGUUCCAAGAGUCUGCUAGCCAAGAUGUCCUGAGAAAUCUAGAACGAAAAAAAUUGGUGGGAAACUCAAUAACAAUAUGGUACAGGUGACAAAAAUACCAUAAGAAAAAGUAGAGUUCUUUGGGGAACAAUCCAGCAGGUUUGAAGGUGAAGAGGUGAAUGAAAGGAUAUUUAGGAUGGAUGCCUAAGCUUUUGAAACAAGGGGAAGACAUAUCAUAGUUGAGAAGAAGGUAGUCUUGGAGGCUAAAUAGUUUAUCUUUUGCUUGUAGGUCAAGAGUGUGGUUAAGAACCAUAUCUUGAGCAAGAAGGGGUAAGUCAUAUGCAGGGAAUUCUUGUUCAGGUGGAGGAAGAGUGGAAGAUAAGGCCAUAAGAAUCAGGGAAAUGAGUAGUGUUUAUGAUUUGGGUGGUCUGGUGAGCAUGUCUGGGAUCAAGUUCUUGUUCCUUUUUAUAUGCUCAACAGUGAAGGUGUACUUGGAAAACCACUCAGCUAAUCUCAGAAGCUAUGGAUGAGGAAGCAUCUUGCGCUUAAACUAUAACAUUUUUUGAAAUAAGGAACAGUCCAUGACAACUGUAAAGUGAUAGGCUGCUAGGUGAAACUCAAAUUUUUGGAUGCCAUACUUUACAAUUAAGAUUUCCCUGAAAGUGGAGUGGUAGUGGGUUUCUGACUCUUUGAAUGACUCACUUUUAUAGCCAUAUAUGUGUCGAUGGCCAUCUUUUUCUUCUAGGAGUACAACACUCCAAUACUUAUCAUUGGCAUCAGGUUAGAGUAUGCUUGUUCUAUUUAUAGAAUGACUAAAGCAGGUAAAUUUUGUGUGGGUGUCUUUAAUUAUCUGACAGCUUGAGUUUGCUUUUUUGUCUAAGAGUCUGCAUCUUUCUUGAGCAUGAGCUGAAAUGGCCUUGUCAUCUGUGCAACUCUAAGGAUAAAAUUUUUGAGAUAUUGGACAAUUUCCAAAAACUAUUGGACUUGCUUUCUUGUGAGGGGGCAUCUAAAAACUUUUAGAGUUCUUCAGCUAUAUAAGUGUCAGGUGUAUAAGCACCAUCUGCAAAGAUCAUACCAAGAAAUUUGAUUUUCUUUUGACAGAUGAGCUUCUUACUUUCAAAAAGCAUGAUACCAUGGUAGGGAACAAUCUCUGUAAAUUGCUUUAACAAAGUAGCAUGUGACUCUCAUCUUUGGAGAAAAGUAACACAUCAUCAAUGUAGAUUAAAGUUGAUCGAAUCAUGGGUUCAAAUACUUUAAUCAUGGCCUUUUGAAAUAAUAAGGGUACCACUUUGAGACCAAAAGGUAUGACUCGCCAUUGAUAAUGAUGGUCUGGUAUGUAUAAACCUGUUUUGUAUCUAUCUUUAGGAUGAAUGCCAAGUUGCCAAAAUCCGGUCUUGAGAUCAAACUUGGAGAAAACUUUGGCAUUGUAAAGGCAUAAGAAUAAUGUCAUUAUGUUUGGCAAAGGGAACUUAUCAUCUUGUAGGAAAUGAUUCAAGGGCUGAUAAUUAAUUACCAAUCUGAGCUUGCCUUGUUUUUGUUCAAACCUUUUAUUAACAUAAAAGGCUUCACAAGACCAUUAUGAGUCUGUAGGUUCAAUGAGACCUUAGGCCUGUAGCUGGACACAUUCAUCUUGAGCUAGAGUCUUGUGCUCAGGAUUCAUUCCUGAAUGACUGGCUUUCGUGGGAUUAAUGUCUUCAUUAUACUUGAGAGGAAGCUAAAUAAAAAAUAAAAAUAAAAACUAUAGAUUUUGCCAUUAUGUUUAGCAAGAAAUUCUUGAUGAGAGUUUGAACAUGAGUGUUGGAUAAUUUGGGCUUUGAUGAGGGAAAUGGUUUCUGUGAGAGAGGGUUGGAUUUCAUAGAGUGAAGGGAUAAUUGUAUAUGAGAGAAAAUGGGCUUUAUACUGAAUACCACGAGGAAGGAUUCUGAACUUGGAUUUGAAAUAAACAUCAAACCCAAUAACUAAAUCUUUACCAUGUAAAAAAAAACCAAGGACAUGGGUUUUGACUGAACAUUAGGGCAUGAUUUGUAUGGUAAUGGGCUUUUUAAUUUUGAAGUGGGUGUAUAAUACUUGAUCAUCUACAGCUCAAAAGUAUUCUGUAUGUGGGACCCAACAAUGUAUUGGAAGAACUUUAGGGUUAAGAAUGGUUCUAUGGGCUCUUGUGUCAAAUAAGGCUAUGGCUUUGAUGGGCUUAGCAUAUGUGGAGGUAAGAAUGGUAACAGGGGCUUAGCAUAGUCGUAGACGUAACCGUGGGCAUUACUAAGGGUGUAACUGCUUGUGUAGCCAUGUGGGUGCAUAAUUGUGGGCAUAACCACAAGCAUAACUACUAGGAUGUCAUUGGCGCAACCAUAGACACAGUCACUGACACUAGCCAUUAGAAGGGCUUUUGAGAAAUAUGAAUAAACUAGCUUUUUAUUUAGUUUCCACAAAUGGUGUCAAUGAUGAGGUCCUAAAAAAUCCAUGUAGCUUAGGAGCAUGACUUAUAUAUUGGAUAAUCAAUUCAUUUCUUGGUUCUAGCAAUCUGAUCAAUUCUCUCUAGCCAAGGUGAUUGGUAGCUUCCACCUCGUGCCUGGUAAGUUAGGGUGAGAAUGAAGAGAUUAUGAUCUUAGAGCUUGAAAGAUUCAUGGGGUAAUUAUAGCUUAUAAGUCUUAUUAUUUUAUAGAGAAAAAUGGUUGAAUUAUUUCAUCCCUAAAAUAUUUUGAGUUAUAUUUCACUCAAAAUAAUAUGUAUUGAAUUAAUAUAAAAUAUUGAGAAAUCUGUAUGGGUCCUGAAAAAUUACCGAGGAAUUGUUGGGCUCAAACAAGUUGAUUAAACCAUUUGGAGCAAAAAAUUAAUCUAGAUGCAUUUCCUGAAGCUCAUAGUCAUUGGGGAUUUUAAGCUGAUUAAAUUUAAAUUUAUCACUUCCUAUAAACUUUAAAGAAGUGAGAUGCUUCAGUUUCAUUCUAGAGGUAUAGAAUUAGUUUUACUAGUGGGUAUAGAAUGUAUGGUUAAAGGGUUCUCUUUUCUUUACGCAAACAAUUGGUAGGACUUCUUUUCACGCAUGCUAGGGGUGAUAUUUUUAACCAUUUGUUUUGACUUGAAAAAACUUCAUUUACCCUACCUUGCAAUUCCAUUUAUACAAGCACUUGUUUAUUUUUAUAUUUUAAAAAUAUUUUUGAUUAGUUCUUUUUAUAUUUUUAAAUUAUUUUAAUAUAUAAAUAUUAAAAAUAAUUGCUAAAAUAGUUACUACUGCAUUAGGAUUUUAUCAUAUGUGGCAUAAUCAUGGGUAUAACCAAAAGCAUAAUUGCUAGCAUGUCAUUGCAAUAAUUGUAAAUAAUGAAUGACAUAGCCACCACUACGUUAGGAUUUUUUCAGCCGUUAAAAAUGCUUUUGAGAAAUAUAAAUAAUCUAGCUUUUUGUUUAGUUAUCAUAAAUAGUACCAAGUAGUGGGGGUGGUUCACGCUGACGUUAAUGUUUUUGGCAUAAAAAAAUAUUAAUAUUUAAAAGUUAGUUUUAUCUGUAAAGUAAAACCAAGACUCUUAAUCUGACUGUAACCCAAUAUUAUUAAUCUGACUGUAACCCAAUAUUAAUAUUUUUAAUAUUAAUAAUAAUAUUAAACUUGUUAGAUCUAAAUUCUUAUAUUUUUUUAUUUUUUUAAAUCAAAUUUAUAGUUUUUUUUUUAUACUAAUAAUUUUUUUUAAAAACAUUAUUAAUUAUAAUGAUAAUGAUAACAAUAAAAAUAAUAAUAAAAAUAAGAAUAAAACUAAUGAUUAUAAACUUAGAUAUGACGUCCCAGCUAGACCCAAGUUUGAGUCUAGUUAACCUAAUAAAAAUAAAAUAAAUAAUAUUUAUAAUAAUAACAAUAACAAUAAUAAUAUUAAAUAUAUUUGACCUAAAUUCUUAUAAUUUUUGAUCUCUUCGAAUAAAAUUUUAUAGUUUUUCUACAAUAAUAAUAAUAUUAUUUUUUUCAAAAUUAAUAAUAAUAACAAUAUUAAUAAUAAAAAUAAUAUUAAUAAUUAUAUUAUAAUAAAAACAACAACAGCAACAAUAAUAAUUUUUAAUUUUACUCUUUAAAUCAAAUCUAUUCAUACUAACCGCUGUUCAUGUAAUGGAGCGCAAGCUCUAACAUCAUUUGAGUUACGUUGAUGCUUACGUUAGAAAUUGUUCUUGGAUGACUACGAAGUCUCUUCAUUCACUUCCUCUAUUUAUGGCAGUUUCCUUUUAUUUGCUAGGCUGAGCCGAGAACUCGUACACACACUGAGUCCGUCAUUCUUGAGAAGCAAAUUAAACAAGAACAAGAGAGAUGGCAACAGUGAGAAGGAUCAAGCUGGGGUCACAGGGACUUGAAGUAUCAGCACAGGGACUUGGAUGCUUGGGCAUGUCUGCCGACUACGGCCUUCCAAAACCUGAAUCGGACAUGAUAGCCCUCAUCCACCACGCCGUCAACACUGGGGUCACUUUACUCGACACCGCCGAUGUCUAUGGACCCCACACCAACGAAAUCCUUCUGGGCAAGGCCUUGAAGGCGGGAGGAUUACGACAGAGAGUUGAAUUG
This 11291-nucleotide long non-coding RNA is filed under the name Populus tremula. RNAcentral's name for it is "long non-coding RNA (PTRE_LNC001760)". Lineage: Eukaryota; Viridiplantae; Streptophyta; Magnoliopsida; Malpighiales; Salicaceae. The record is from RNAcentral.